UGCGUAGGUGGUUGGGUAAGUUUGAUGUGAAAGCUCUGGGCUCAACCCAGAAAUGGCAUUGAAUACUAUCCGACUAGAGGAGUGGAGGGGGGACUGGAAUACUUGGUGUAGCAGUGAAAUGCGUAGAUAUCAAGUGGAACACCAGUGGCGAAGGCGAGUCCCUGGACACUUCCUGACACUGAGGCACGAAAAGACUGGGGAGGCAAACCAAG
Molecule: ribosomal RNA, 212 nt
Filed under: uncultured bacterium
Lineage: Bacteria
Description: partial 16S ribosomal RNA
Rfam family: Bacterial small subunit ribosomal RNA
Source: RNAcentral